This 170-nucleotide microRNA precursor is filed under the name Triticum aestivum (bread wheat). Its description in RNAcentral is "MIR2118 microRNA precursor family". It matches the Rfam family "MIR2118 microRNA precursor family". RNAcentral also lists the same sequence under 1 other name. The record is from Rfam by way of RNAcentral. Lineage: Eukaryota; Viridiplantae; Streptophyta; Magnoliopsida; Poales; Poaceae.
GCCGGGAAGUGGAAGAAAAGAGGGCAUAAGAGCAAUAUGAGUGGGAACAUGGAGGAAAAGCCUAACUUGCUUUGUUUUCAACUAUAGUGUUGGAGGUGAGAAACUGCUUUGGUUUUCCGAUGCCUCCCAUUCCUAUUGUUCUCAAGCACUCCUUCCUAUUCCUUUUUUGG